Molecule: ribosomal RNA, 253 nt
Filed under: uncultured bacterium
Lineage: Bacteria
Description: partial 16S ribosomal RNA
Rfam family: Bacterial small subunit ribosomal RNA
Source: RNAcentral
GACGAACCGUGCGAACGUUGUUCGGAAUCACUGGGCUUAAAGGGCGCGUAGGCGGGUUCGCAAGUCUGUGGUGAAAGCCUCCAGCUUAACUGGAGAAGUGCCAUGGAUACUGCGCAUCUUGAGGAGGGUAGGGGCGUCUGGAACGGUCGGUGGAGCGGUGAAAUGCGUUGAUAUCGACCGGAACUCCGGUGGCGAAGGCGGCAUCCUGGACCGGUAUUGACGCUGAGGCGCGAAAGCUAGGGGAGCAAACGGG